This is a non-coding RNA of Vicia faba (fava bean), 216 nucleotides long. Lineage: Eukaryota; Viridiplantae; Streptophyta; Magnoliopsida; Fabales; Fabaceae. The record is from the annotation of a GenBank genome assembly.
AUGCCCAAAACACCCCAUGGGUCCCAAAUCAUGAAAAUCAUAAAAACACUUAAAAUCAGCGUCACUGGCCGGCACGGUCCGUGUCAGGCGACACGGCCGCCUGUGUUGGCCAUCAGAAAUUUUCCUGCUCCAGGCAUGCUGACACGGCUCGUGUCAGGCGACACGACUGCCCGUGUCAGUCCCUGUUUUCCAGGAAUUCCAAGUCUUCCCCCCUGA